AUUGAACGCUGGCGGCAGGCUUAACACAUGCAAGUCGAGCGGGGGAAGGUAGCUUGCUACUGGACCUAGCUGCGGACGGGUGAGUAAUGCUUAGGAAUCUGCCUAUUAGUGGGGGACAACAUCUCGAAAGGGAUGCUAAUACCGCAUACGUCCUACGGGAUAACGCAGGGGAUCUUCGGACCUUGCGCUAAUAGAUGAGCCUAAGUCGGAUUAGCUAGUUGGUGGGGUAAAGGCCUACCAAGGCGACGAUCUGUAGCGGGUCUGAGAGGAUGAUCCGCCACACUGGGACUGAGACACGGCCCAGACUCCUACGGGAGGCAGCAGUGGGGAAUAUUGGACAAUGGGGGGAACCCUGAUCCAGCCAUGCCGCGUGUGUGAAGAAGGCCUUAUGGUUGUAAAGCACUUUAAGCGAGGAGGAGGCUACUUUAGUUAAUACCUAGAGAUAGUGGACGUUACUCGCAGAAUAAGCACCGGCUAACUCUGUGCCAGCCGCCGCGGUAA
Molecule: ribosomal RNA, 501 nt
Filed under: uncultured bacterium
Lineage: Bacteria
Description: partial 16S ribosomal RNA
Rfam family: Bacterial small subunit ribosomal RNA
Source: RNAcentral